GUACUACUCCCUCCGUCCGAAAAUACUUGUCAUCAAAAUGAAUAAAAAGAGAUGUAUCUAAAUGUAUUUUAGUUCUAGAUACACCCUUUUUUGUCCAUUUCGAUGACAAGUUUUUUCGGACGGAGGGAGUACAAG
This is a non-coding RNA of Triticum urartu, 135 nucleotides long. The record is from Rfam. Lineage: Eukaryota; Viridiplantae; Streptophyta; Magnoliopsida; Poales; Poaceae.